CAACUGGGCAGAGGAUCCUCCUCACAUCGUGACUGAUGGUCGCAGUGCUGAUCCGUGGGAGAGGUGUUUUGAAGCCGCCUGCUUGUCCGCGGAGCCACAGUGCCAUCUCCUGGCUUGGGCUUCCCUCUCCGCGGCAGGUAGGCUUCAGGAGCCCUGUCGGUGUUUUCUCCUACUCUUUCACCUUUAAUGAUGGUUUAGGGGCAAAGCCUCUCACCUAAAAAAACUCUCCUAACCUUC
Long non-coding RNA from Pogoniulus pusillus (Red-fronted tinkerbird), 237 nucleotides. RefSeq lists it as uncharacterized. The transcript has 2 exons. NCBI's taxonomy places the organism in Eukaryota, Metazoa, Chordata, Aves, Piciformes, Lybiidae. The record is from RefSeq and is a predicted model, not a curated record.